RNAcentral lists this microRNA precursor (105 nucleotides) under Canis lupus dingo (dingo). Its description in RNAcentral is "mir-8834 microRNA precursor family". It matches the Rfam family "mir-8834 microRNA precursor family". Lineage: Eukaryota; Metazoa; Chordata; Mammalia; Carnivora; Canidae. The record is from Rfam by way of RNAcentral.
AGGAGGAACAGCCCCAGUGGCGGGGCCAGCUCUGGAGCCCUGGAGUCAACCCCCGCAGGAACUCCGGAGCUCUCCGUCUGCAGGGCCUGGAGGCUCCGGGGCGGG